GUGUCAGCAGCCGCGGUAAUACGUAGGGGGCAAGCGUUGUCCGGAAUUAUUGGGCGUAAAGAGCGCGUAGGCGGUCCGAUAAGUCGUCUGUGAAAGUCUAGGGCUCAACCCUGGAAAGCCGGACGAUACUGUCGGACUAGAGUCCGGAAGAGGCAAGUGGAAUUCCCGGUGUAGCGGUGAAAUGCGCAGAUAUCGGGAGGAACACCAAUGGCGAAGGCAGCUUGCUGGGACGGUACUGACGCUGAGGCGCGAAAGCGUGGGGAGCAAACAGGAUUAGAUACCCUCGUAGUCC
This 292-nucleotide ribosomal RNA is filed under the name uncultured bacterium. RNAcentral describes it as "partial 16S ribosomal RNA". It matches the Rfam family "Bacterial small subunit ribosomal RNA", at positions 505 to 796 of the family's 1533-position model. The record is from RNAcentral.